UAGUGUAGAGGUGAAUUCGUAGAUAUUAGAAAGAAUACCAAUUGCGAAGGCAGCUUUCUGGAUCAUUACUGACACUGAGGAACGAAAGCAUGGGUAGCGAAGAGGAUUAGAUACCCUCGUAGUCCAUGCCGUAAACGAUGUGUGUUAGACGUUGGAAAUUUAUUUUCAGUGUCGCAGGGAAACCGAUAAACACACCGCCUGGGGAGUACGACCGCAAGGUUAAAACUCAAAUGAAUUGACGGGGACCCGCACAAGUAGUGGAGCAUGUGGUUUAAUUCGAAGAUACGCGCAGAACCUUACCAACACUUGACAUGUUCGUCGCGACUCUAAGAGAUUAGAGUUUUCGGUUCGGCCGGACGAAACACAGGUGCUGCAUGGCUGUCGUCAGCUCGUGUCGUGAGAUGUUGGGUUAAGUCCCGCAACGAGCGCAACCCUCACUUUUAGUUGCCAUCAUUAAGUUGGGCACUCUGAAAGAACUGCCAGUGAUAAGCUGGAGGAAGGUGGGGAUGACGUCAAGUCCUCAUGGCCCUUACGUGUUGGGCUACACACGUGCUACAAUGGUAUCUACAACAGGAAGCAAAACUGCGAAGUUAAGCAAAUCCCUAAAAGAUACCUCAGUUCGGAUUGCACUCUGCAACUCGAGUGCAUGAAGCUGGAAUUACUAGUAAUCGUGGAUCAGCGUGCCACGGUGAAUGCGUUCCCGGGUCUUGUACACACCGCCCGUCACACCAUGGGAGUUGGUUCUACCUUAAGGCAAGGUUUUAAACCCUUGACCACGGUAUAGUCAGCGACUGGGGGUGAAGUCGUAACAAGGUAGCCGUAGGGGAACCUGCGGCUG
This 838-nucleotide ribosomal RNA is filed under the name marine metagenome. Its description in RNAcentral is "bacterial SSU rRNA". It matches the Rfam family "Bacterial small subunit ribosomal RNA", at positions 671 to 1520 of the family's 1533-position model. The record is from RNAcentral.